UGGUUCAGUCCAGUAACAAGAAGCUCGUUAAGGUUGAAUGUUUUCACAGCCGAUCGAUUUGUCCCAGCGGCACGGGCGCGCUUGCAUUUUAUUGUCAAAAGUUAGAUGUUGAUUUUAUGAAUUGACGAGCAAUCUGUGUGUUCUUUACUAAUAUAGUCUAUGAGUAAACAUUUUAUUCUUGAGUGUUUGAUGAGCUAAAUAAGUUUGAUAUUAAACAUUAAAAGACGAGACGAAUGCCAGGAUGGCCCGUCAACUCGCGACAAUCAGGUCUUGAUGUCAAAUAACAGCCAAUCGAUCGCUAAUUUGGUGACGAAAAGCGAAGUUCGGUGUCGUCGGAAGCCUCAAACGUCGCGUUGACGACAGUUCGUCAGCUGCUGGGUUCCCAAGUUGGUUAGCAUGCCUAGCUAACCGGCUAGCUCGCCUUCUUCGAGUCACUCGGGCGGGCCUCCCUCCGCGGCCCGGUUCCGUCCGGGCCCGCGUGACACUUUGUCCUACGAACUUUGGCUCCAGUUCGACGAGCGGCGACGCCAUUCGGACGAGUAACGGUUAGCAUGCUAGCUGGCUAGUGAGAAAGCGGCUUACGGCGCGAACCGGCAGAACCGGAACCAGCCACCUCCGGUAGUGCCUUACCUUUCUUUCGGACCGGCAUGGCGCCUCCGGUUCGGCUCCGCUCGGAGGCCGGCCGGGCGGGCAGGACGGGUUCGGCGGCGGCUCGGAGGAGAACGUCGCCGUCCUGACGACACCAACUAAGUAAGUGGAGAACUCUGACUCGACUGGGAGGGACCCGUCCCCAGUCCCUCGUCCCACCGGCACAAGUCCAAAUAGUCCCGGCCUCCACCCACCAGCAGCACCACCAACCCAGUCCCGGACUGGACUGGACUGGACGGUACCACUGUGAUGGCUGGGCUAGCCAAAGAUCCGAACCACGUACACGCAAGCGAGCGAGCACAGGUUAGGUUGAGCCGAGCCGAGCGGCUCCCCGCCCAGUGUGCGUGUGCUGGCCAAAGGAGAAAAGAAAACGAAAAGAAACAACCAAAACUUGAUGAGGAUCAAGUGGAAUGACGCGCGCGCGCGCCCCCCCCACUGCACCUCGUGCACGCGCUUGCUUUGCGUUCGUGUCAAAGUUGGGCGAGUAAAUUCCCUCCUCCUCCUCCUCCUCGGGCAUUUCCAAACUUGACAGAAUUGUAGUUUUAGUCUUCAACCUUCAUCAGCAUCGACGCCGCUUACAGCUAACAUCAAACAGUAUUACAAGUGUAAAAAGAAGUCAAGAAAGAGUCCAUUCACUGCUCCGAAUGUGAUGUCACUUCCUGCAUUUCUUCUUCUCUCGACAGGCUUCAGUGAGGAUGCUACUUGUUUUGGAAAAAGCAAAACACAUGGCAGAGAUAACCCUUUGAUGCUCACUGAGCUGAACUCUUGUGAAGGCUGCAGAAAAAUAGCCGUGUAGAAAAUGGACGGAUGGACCGAAAGAAAAGUAAUAUACAGUUCAGCGUUUUGAAAAUCACCUCGUCGUCGUCAUCGUCGUCGUCUGCCGCCCGCUUUGUGCCGCCCUCCAGCUCGUCGUCAUCGUCCUCCUCGUCUUCCUCGUCACCUGCGC
Long non-coding RNA from Phyllopteryx taeniolatus (common seadragon), 1594 nucleotides. RefSeq lists it as uncharacterized. The record is from RefSeq and is a predicted model, not a curated record. NCBI's taxonomy places the organism in Eukaryota, Metazoa, Chordata, Actinopteri, Syngnathiformes, Syngnathidae. The transcript has 3 exons.